This 377-nucleotide ribosomal RNA is filed under the name uncultured bacterium. RNAcentral's name for it is "bacterial SSU rRNA". It matches the Rfam family "Bacterial small subunit ribosomal RNA", at positions 1014 to 1378 of the family's 1533-position model. The record is from RNAcentral.
UUUUCUUCGGAACAGAGAGACAGGUGGUGCAUGGUUGUCGUCAGCUCGUGUCGUGAGAUGUUGGGUUAAGUCCCGCAACGAGCGCAACCCUUAUCUUCAGUAGCCAGCGGUUAGGCGGGGCCCUCUGGAAAGACCGGCCGGGAAAACCCGGAGGAAGGGGGGGAUAACUCAAAUCUUCUUGCCCCUUAUGACUGGGGCUACCCCCGUGCUACAAUGGCGUAAACAAAGGGAAGCAACCCUGGAAGGGGAACAAAACCCAAAAAUAUCUUCCCAUUUCGAAUUGUAUCCGGCACCUCCACUUCCUUAAGCUGGAAUCGCUAUAAUUCGGAAAUCAAAUGUCCGCGGUAAAUCCUUCCCCGGGUUGGACACCCCCGAAA